AAAGAGCACAAUUCACAAUUCCAAAGUUCCAGAUAGACUGCACACGAGUCAGAAUGACCCAUUAAGUGGAGGUGUGGCGUAAUUUUCAGAAGCAUUCAAAGCUGCUUGGUAAUCAAGCUGGGAAAUGCUAUGUUGGGCAAAAAUAAGAUGACAGGGCAAGCAUUCCUUGAGAAAUCCUCGUCUGCUCACUCGGCUUCACAGCCCCGCAGCCCUCUGACCAGUGAGAGCCCUGCAGCUGUGCCUCUUCAGGAGCACCUGGUGUUUCCGCCGCAAACACAGGAAUACAGAGCUCAGAGCCGCCCGCCCACCCCGUCCCCACAGCCAGCAGCUGGGAAAGCUCAGCCUCCUCACUGGGGCUGCUGCAAAUGGUCUCGCUGGUGUCUCAGUCCUAUUCUUGCCCCAUCCAAUCUUUUCUCCCCUCAGUAGUGAAGUAAUCCAUUUGAAAUAUAAGUAGGUUCAUGGCUUCCCCUGCUUCAAAGACUCCAAUAUGUUCCCGCUGAAUUUCAGUUAUAAUCCAAAUUCCUUCCCAGGGUUUAUGAAGACUGGGGACCAAGCCACUUUGUCCUUCUGUUUCAUCGUGGCCACUCUCCUCUCCUCACUUUU
Molecule: long non-coding RNA, 603 nt
Filed under: Equus asinus (donkey)
Lineage: Eukaryota; Metazoa; Chordata; Mammalia; Perissodactyla; Equidae
Description: lncRNA (ENSEASG00005023584.1)
Source: RNAcentral